This 1207-nucleotide long non-coding RNA is filed under the name Sorghum bicolor (sorghum). RNAcentral's name for it is "long non-coding RNA (SBIC_LNC004038)". The record is from RNAcentral. Lineage: Eukaryota; Viridiplantae; Streptophyta; Magnoliopsida; Poales; Poaceae.
ACGUGACCACGAGUUUCAAUCCAAACAGAAAAAACACCGUCAAAUCAAAUCUGAAAAGAGACAAAAAAAAAUCGGUGUUCAUCGUCAUCCAAACAGCAUGGGUAUUAUUAUUCAACUUAAGUACACAUCUAUUAUUCCACCAGCACCCAGAGUUUACCUAAAUCAACACCCAUAGAUUGCCGAAACUUAAAUAAUCUAGACACGAAACAUGAAACAUAGAUUACUGAAACUUACUAGAACAUGAAAACGUAAAUUACGGAAACGGAACAUGAGACGUCCCUAGCAAGCAGCACCAAAAACAACUACUCCUCAUCAUCGUCACGGCGGCCAGCCUUGGGUGAUUCCGGUGUCGGCGUCACAAGUAGCGGGCUUGCGGCUUCCGCCUUGGGUGAUUCCGAUGUCGCGCUCGACGAGGCUCCUCCAGAUGUUGGGGACGAAGACGACCCUGUAGUUCUGCGCCAUGUACGCGCCCACCACCGUGCCAAACAGGAAAAAAGGAAACAGCCGUCGCACCAAGCAAAACAUGCUGCUGCUUUCUUGUCGUUGCUCUCGGCUUUCUUUGUCCAAGGUAUUCUGGGUUUGGCAACUCCAGAGAAUUUUGGUGGCAAGAAGAGCGACCAUGCAUCAGCGGGAAUUGAAAAGCAUGGAUACAUGGUGUUUACACACGUACGUCGCCGGAAGCGCCCGAUCGAGAUACACUAGUCACGCCACCAACAGGAGGUUUCUUGAAAGCUGAUCUAUUGAUAGCUAUUAGAUUCGUUGUCAAUCGGUUUUCAUGCUCUCUUAUAUAUACACCCCCGCGCCGUUCUUUGGACUUGACCACGUACGUAAUAGAUCUGUUUCUGUUAUAUAUUUUGUGUCCAACAACCUCCGCGUACGUGUACCAGAAUUUAGUUGCCCUAUCCGAUCUUUCUGCAUCUUUACCGGUUCGGAUGCCGUUCAGCCCGGCCUCUAACGGAAUCGGAGAUUUUCAUCAUCAUGAUCCACAUCCCCCCUCUCCCGCCCCGCGCUAUUUUCGUAUCCUGCCGUGUCCAGGGCCAGGCUGAUCUGCGCGCCCUCCUCGAUCCGUCUACGCUACGUACCCGCCUAUACCCCCCACGCUUCGCAUGCAUGCAUGCAGCUCUGUGCUGGUUAAGUGAAGCAAGAGAAACAGAUCUACUAAUGGAAAUUUCAAGUGAGUUUCACUUCAUUAAAUAGGUUACCACAU